CUAACAACCCAUAUUAAUUCCUCCAACCGUACAAAAGCUAAUUCUUUCCAGACCCUAAACUUAUCUCUAACCCAACCAGCUGCACACUCCAUUCCCCACCUUGUUUCCGUCCUAAACUCGCUAGAAAACUCAUCAAAAUCGGCGAGUUCACUCAUCGAGCCACCAAAUGGCCCCCUCUCACUUUCCACGUCACCCGAUCCCUAACGAACCACUGACAAGAGAAUAUUUUCUCGCUCCCUCACGCAUUUUUUUUUAAUUUUUUAUCUCUUGGACGAAUUUGGGUAAAUGUUAGCCAUAGGAUCUGAGGAGUUUAACAUCCUAGCUUCCAUUUGUCCGAUUUUAUUCAAAAAGAGGGGAAAAAUUAAUUUUUGGAUAGAGGUUCUAGAGAUUUCUUGACUUGAUGAAGAUGGUUCGAGGUGAGUAUAUAUAGGUUUACACACGUUUUAGGGGAUUUUUCGGACAAAAAAUUGAAAAAAAAGUUCUAGGGUUUAAGAGAAAGCUUCUUCUCUUCUAGGCGAUUUGUCUUGAGAUUUGUCUAAGCCUUCUUUCGAAAAAAAUAUUUAUAUUUUUGAGUGUAAUUGGCGUUCGAGUAUCAGUAAAGGAAGUUCAAAGGGAAAUUAUCAAAAGUAUUUAGUUUUCCUUCUCUGUUUUCUUUUUUUCCUAUUCCAAGGAAGAAAAAUCAGAAUUAAAAAUGGAGCUAAGCUGAGGUUUGAAGCUGAGUCGAGGCGUCGUUCGAAUUCGAGCUCGUAGUUCUAGGUUCGUUUGUCCUUGUUCCGUUCGUUUCUGGUUGAAUUCGUUGUUCAAUCUUCUGCUUGUAUCUUCUUCCUCCGGACAGAAAUAUAUUGGAAAAUUUCACUUCAGGUAUAUGUCCACGUGGUUGGAGUGACAAUUAAAGAAAAAUAGGUACUGCUGCUGAUCUAGGGCUUUGUUGAAGAUACUAGUAGAGAAAUAGUACUUUGGACUAGAAGACUUUGCAAUUCUAAGGGAUUUUGGUGAUGAGGAAGAAGAUAAUUGGUUUGAUGAAAAGCUUCAUAGCAAUAUUGAGCUACAUAUAAGUCUUAUUGCACAAAAAAUAUAUUUUUGAUAGAAAAAAGAUGUUGGUUUUGUAAUAUCAGAUUUACUUAUGACAUUGAUUAUGUAGAUAAUAUCAAUUUACUCCUUAUUUUAUAUGAGGAAUGAUGAGUUUUAUACA
This is a long non-coding RNA of Nicotiana attenuata, 1192 nucleotides long. RefSeq lists it as uncharacterized. NCBI's taxonomy places the organism in Eukaryota, Viridiplantae, Streptophyta, Magnoliopsida, Solanales, Solanaceae. The record is from RefSeq and is a predicted model, not a curated record. The transcript has 2 exons.